RNAcentral lists this transfer RNA (71 nucleotides) under Hemidactylus karenorum. Its description in RNAcentral is "tRNA-Trp". The record is from RNAcentral. Lineage: Eukaryota; Metazoa; Chordata; Lepidosauria; Squamata; Gekkonidae.
AGAAAUUUAGGUUAAUAUAAACCAAGAACCUUCAAAGUUCUAAAUACGAGCACCCACCCUCCUAAUUUCUG